Molecule: ribosomal RNA, 368 nt
Filed under: uncultured eukaryote
Lineage: Eukaryota
Description: partial 18S ribosomal RNA
Rfam family: Eukaryotic small subunit ribosomal RNA
Source: RNAcentral
CAAUAGCGUAUAUUAAAGUUGUUGCAGUUAAAAAGCUCGUAGUUGGACCUUGGACCUGGACAGGCGGUCCGCCUCACGGCGAGUACUGUCUUGCUGGUCUUUCCUCUUGGUGAUCUGUUGUUUCGGCAGCAGGGAACCAGGACCUUUACUUUGAAAAAAUUAGAGUGUUCAAAGCAGGCUCGACGCCGGAAUAUAUUAGCAUGGAAUAAUAAAAUAGGACGUGCGGUUCUAUUUUGUUGGCUUUUGGAAUCGCCGUAAUGAUUAAUAGGGACAGUCGGGGGCAUUAGUACUCACAUGCUAGAGGUGAAAUUCUUGGAUUUUGUGAAGACUAACUUCUGCGAAAGCAUUUGCCAAGGAUGUUUNCAUUA